GAUGAACGCUGGCGGCGUGCCUAAUACAUGCAAGUCGAGCGAACAGACGAGGAGCUUGCUCCUCUGACGUUAGCGGCGGACGGGUGAGUAACACGUGGAUAACCUACCUAUAAGACUGGGAUAACUUCGGGAAGCCGGAGCUAAUACCGGAUAAUAUAUUGAACCGCAUGGUUCAAUAGUGAAAGACGGUUUUGCUGUCACUUAUAGAUGGAUCCGCGCCGCAUUAGCUAGUUGGUAAGGUAACGGCUUACCAAGGCAACGAUGCGUAGCCGACCUGAGAGGGUGAUCGGCCACACUGGAACUGAGACACGGUCCAGACUCCUACGGGAGGCAGCAGUAGGGAAUCUUCCGCAAUGGGCGAAAGCCUGACGGAGCAACGCCGCGUGAGUGAUGAAGGUCUUCGGAUCGUAAAACUCUGUUAUUAGGGAAGAACAAAUGUGUAAGUAACUAUGCACGUCUUGACGGUACCUAAUCAGAAAGCCACGGCUAACUACGCG
This 497-nucleotide ribosomal RNA is filed under the name uncultured bacterium. RNAcentral describes it as "partial 16S ribosomal RNA". It matches the Rfam family "Bacterial small subunit ribosomal RNA", at positions 28 to 507 of the family's 1533-position model. The record is from RNAcentral.